This is a long non-coding RNA of Hylaeus anthracinus, 2868 nucleotides long. RefSeq lists it as uncharacterized. The transcript is spliced from 3 exons. NCBI's taxonomy places the organism in Eukaryota, Metazoa, Arthropoda, Insecta, Hymenoptera, Colletidae. The record is from RefSeq and is a predicted model, not a curated record.
UACUAUAUUACGGAUACAGGGUUCCCUGCUAACAUCGUGCACAAAUAAUUCAACACUUCAUAAAAACUUUCUUCGCUGGCCAGUAAAAAAAUUGUAACGGACUAGAGUCGUUCAGCUAUAUGUGAAUGUUAAUCGCAGUACUGCAUUGGGGACAGUUGAACAAUUAUACAAUUGCUACAUAGUACAUACUUGCAACACCAUUUUAGCCCGCACGUUACGAGCUAAAUUGUUACGCGAUACUAAUAUUAUCUCGUAUUUGUGGUACACGAAAAACUGUUUAACAAUAUAGCGACGUCAAAUACGAAAACUCCUGUUGCGCAACAGCGAGUCACUGGUGCAUAUAUAAUACCAAAACACUGUGUUUGCUUUCAGUUUUCGGUAUUAAGGUAAAAUACACAGUACUUGGUCAUAUUUCAAACUACACACAGAUUCUCCUAGUUAAUUCAGGCUAUCUGAAUAUCGCUUCCAAUUGUAACAAUACAAAUAAUAUUUAACAUGCAAUUUGAAUAAUAUGGAGGAGCCUAUAUGCUGCAAUAUAUUUUUUCUCCAGCGUUUUAUAUUUUGAAAAAAAAUAUCAUUGUCAUUAAUGUUUUUUGCUUAAAAAUGCACGGGUUUCUUCUCUAUUGUAUUGCGUAGCUGACAUUAAAAUAUGUUCAGAUAUGUAUAAUAAUAUGAGCUCUAAAUGAUGAACCAAACUAAUGACCAAAGAGUAGAUGCGACGUGAAAUGAAACAAUUGAAAAAAAAAAAUUAUAAAAUGCCUAACGCUGGAGUGUUAAUGAGAACACUUUUGGAGUUUUAUAAAAUGAAAACUAAUGAGAUAUUAGUUUGAAACAAGUGCUCUACAACAUCGUUUACCAGGGUAUCGUUUACCAAGGUCAAGGUUACAGGAGUACAUUUUCCUUAACAGCGAGUCUUACGUUUUCAUAUCGUCUACGCUGGCUGUAUGCAAAUUAAUUUCUCCAUGUUUAAGGGGGCAAAUAGGUUUAGGCUCAAAGAGCCCGAAAAGAAAAGUUCCAAGCUCAAAAAGAAGGAUAUGAAGAAGAGAAAGGAUUACUAUAUGGUGCUGGAAUCGUUGAUUAACCAUGUUAUAUGUUUCUCGGUAAUACGUAAUCCGCCGAUGUUUUGAAAAACCAUUCGCUUGAAUGCAAGUUAGAUGUCGUUGCAAUGUAAUAUCAUUUAAUCCUCUGCAAAACAUGUGACAAUUAAGGUAAUGAAAGAAUGACUCUUUAUGUAAGCUGAGGUCAAUACGUUUUAAUUUUACUUGCUAGUCGUAUCUGCGACAUACUCAUGUUAGUCUAGAAUCUCUACUUUCAUGUUAAAUUACAGUCACGUAAUGUCGGAAUACGAAAAUAAAGUACAGCACUAAACUAGCAUACUACAAAAGAUCAUAUCAACACACAGAUGUGUAAUGAUGUCGUUUAAUUAAUACGAAACUCUGCAUUGUACAGAGACGAUUAGAAGAAUAUAUUUACGAACAACAACCUGACACUUCAGAGAAUAUGCUAAGUCGUAUAAUUCAAGCUUAUGCAGUUAUCCCAUCAGAAACAGUUCAAAGAGCAUUGCAACCCGUAAUUGUCCGUUGAAAUUGCAUUGCUGUCGAUCGAUAUCACUUUCAGCACUUUAGAAACUUUAUAACGUAAACAUCAAGUUGACAUAUCAUUUCAACAUUUUUAAAAAUUUGCAUAUUUUAAUAUUUGAGAUUACUAAAAAAUCAUCUGCGCCAAGUUGUAAUAGAAACAAUAUUUUCUUGGUAAAAGAAAAUAAUGAGCUUAAAAAAAAACUCGUAAGAACAUGAAGUUAGAAACAAAAUUGUUGUCAAUGGUAUUUUCACUCCAGAAAUAUUGAAAUCAAGCUAUAAACAAUUUUCAUAUCGCAAAAAAAUAAGAAAGAUUCAGCUAGACUUACUGACGAAAAUUGAGAAACAAAGUAGUUCUUGAAGCAUUACGGUGUUAUAUACACAAUUACUUUAAAUGCUGGGAUACAUAAAGAGUGUAAGUUACACAAUAUAUAAAUAUCCAUACGGCAUGUAUUUUUCAAAUAAAUAGUUGUGUAUUAUUUAUUGCAUUAUUUACACCAAAGUAGCAAAUGGAAACGAAAAUAUUCGAGACCAAAGUUUUUACAAUAAAACAGGUACAAACAUGGUAUUAGUAAUUCAUUAUCUAUUACAUAGUUUUUUAAACAUGAAAAGGAAAGAUGAGUGUUAGAGUCAUUGCCAGAACCUGCAUCCGUAGUGAUUUAAUUCAUCCAGAUUUUGGCUGAUUUUUCAUUUCGGCCAAUAAAUUUAACGUUAAUGUAAAGUUUCAUAUGCACAAAAUUGGUAUACAAAAGAUCACAGUGAUACUUUGUGGUACUUUCUUUUGAAGUCCAUUUAUACAUAGAUAACUUAUUAUAUAAAAAAUUAAGACAAAGUAUCGUUAUUGCAUUUAAAUUACGCAUUUAUUUUAACUGUACUACAAUAUCAAAGUCAACCUAGAAAAAUUGAAAUGAAAUAAGUAUUCUACCAAUGGCACGUAUUUGAAUAUAAUACAUAGAUUUUUUCUCAAAUGUUAUGCUUUAAGAACAAUAAACUGGUGUAUUAAAUAAUAGUUAUAAUUUUGUAAACUACAUUCCUCUACUAAUAUUUCAAGGAUUGAAAUAUAGGAUGUUACUUCCAGUACUUCGAAUUUUUGUAUUUCGUCCAUUAGGCGACACACGGUGCGGCGCGGGCGCGGAAAGUCUGUAAACGGUGGUACGCAAGGAGGCAAGGUAAUGAAAGUUACUUCGUAAUUUAACGUAGCCGAGAGUUUCCAGUUUGAACCGGCCACUGACAUUCCGGCGUUGCGCCGGGGCUUCCCGGAAUCUGGUACGUGCACAUGCGUGAACAGUGU